Molecule: ribosomal RNA, 363 nt
Filed under: uncultured Bacillota bacterium
Lineage: Bacteria; Bacillati; Bacillota
Description: bacterial SSU rRNA
Rfam family: Bacterial small subunit ribosomal RNA (bases 1-236)
Source: RNAcentral
GACUUGAGUGCAGGAGAGGAAAGGGGAAUUCCCAGUGUAGCGGUGAAAUGCGUAGAUAUUGGGAGGAACACCAGUGGCGAAGGCGCCUUUCUGGACUGUGUCUGACGCUGAGAUGCGAAAGCCAGGGUAGCGAACGGGAUUAGAUACCCCGGUAGUCCUGGCCGUAAACGAUGGGUACUAGGUGUAGGAGGUAUCGACCCCUUCUGUGCCGGAGUUAACGCAAUAAGUACCCCGCCUGGGGAGUACGGCCGCGUCGACUUUGAGUUUCACACUUGCGUGCGUACUCCCCAGGCGGGAUACUUAACGCGUUAGCUACGGCACUGUCCGGGUCGAUACAGACAACACCUAGUAUCCAUCGUUUAC